RNAcentral lists this ribosomal RNA (406 nucleotides) under uncultured bacterium. RNAcentral's name for it is "partial 16S ribosomal RNA". It matches the Rfam family "Bacterial small subunit ribosomal RNA", at positions 30 to 526 of the family's 1533-position model. The record is from RNAcentral.
AUUGAACGCUGGCGGCAGGCCUAACACAUGCAAGUCGAACGAGUGGCGGACGGGUGAGAAAUGUAUGGGAAACUGCCCGAUGGAGGGGGAUAACUACUGGAAACGGUAGCUAAUACCGCAUACCAUCGGAAGUGCCCAGAUGGGAUUAGCUAGUAGGUGGGGUAACGUAUCACCUAGGCGACGAUCCCUAGAUGGUCUGAGAGGAUGACCAGGCACUCUGGAACGGGGACGCUGUCCAGCAUCCUAAGUGAGGCAGCAGCUGGGAAUCGUCCGCAAUGGGCGCAAGCCUGAUGCAGCCAUUCCGCGUGUAUGAAGAGGGCCUUCGGGUUGUAAAGUACUUUCCGCGAGGAGGCGUUACUCGCCGAAGAAGCACCGGCUAACUCCGUGCCAGCAGCCGCGGUAAUUC